This 9218-nucleotide long non-coding RNA is filed under the name Homo sapiens (human). RNAcentral describes it as "non-protein coding lnc-APOC3-6:12". Lineage: Eukaryota; Metazoa; Chordata; Mammalia; Primates; Hominidae. The record is from RNAcentral.
AGUCUCCAGAGACCAUCUCCCAUCUCUACAGCGACUCCCCUAUGACCGUCCCCCACCCGGUGCUCUCGGGCCACGGGGAAGGGACACUCGGGAAAGACACCAGAGACCGGGAGGGUGCAGCUGGGCUCUUCGCGGGGAGCGGGCGGGAGGCCUUCCUGUUACAUGUCGCAGCUGGGACACAGACGGCAGCGCUCCAGGGUCCACUUGCCGGCUUCGGUUCCCUCAGGCCCAGGACCAGGCUCCACACCGCUGUCGCGUCCCUUAGCCGUGUGGGCUGUAGCACAGAGGGGGCAAACACCUCCAGGGGCUUGUGCCAAGUAAUUACCAAGCAAAUUCCCGGCGAUUUCCUCUCCUCCCCCCGCCCCCCCGGGCAGUGCCCGCUGCGUGUUCCCUGAUUCGGCCCCCGGCUGUGCAAUCAGCUCCAGGUAACCUGCGGGGACCCGUAAUUGCUCUGGAGUUGCCUGCGAGUUUGCAAGCCGUAUCUCAGGCGUGCAUGAGAUGAAGUCCAGAGAAGUGCAUGGGAGGUGGACACGGAAUUGUAGUGCUGGUCCUCCCUCUGCACUGGACUGGAUUCUGCCAAAGUCAACCAAGCGCCUUCAGUUGCUGACUCUCGUCUCCAGGCCUGAUGUCUGGGAGCUCGUCUAAUUCUGCCACUUUAAGGGUCUACUCUGCAGUCCUCAAAGUUCAGAUGAUUCUUCCCCAAACCAUCAAAGACAGCCCUGGCUGUCUCUGAGUUCUUAUGCCCAUGAGGAUGACCUAUGAAUCCCAGAAAGAUACAGUUUAGAGAAGCAGCAUCAAGAGAGGCUCUGAUGUGGCUUCAUCACUAACUGCAGCAGGACAACAUCAGUGCACAUUCGGAGCCCGUUUUAUAGAAUGGACUGUGAAGGCAAAGUGUCAAAGAGGGAAAAGGCAGCAUUGCAAAGACAGAGCAGAUAUUUACUGAAUACAUGCCAUGUUCCAAACAUUCAGAAAGGAGUUGUAAUCGAUAAAGAAGACACCUGUCUACAAGAAGCUUACAGUCUACUGGCCAGAGAUGAGAUGUGUCCACAGAUAACCAUGCUGCAAGUUAAGUAAAGAAGAAUCUGUAAGAGUGCUAUGCCACUGUGACCUGUUCUUUGAAAAAGCUUGAAAUGAAAUCACAAAGCAACUUUCUUGAUUUCCCACUAUUUACAUUUACUUAAGGAGGAAAGUUCUACUAACCCCAAAUAUGUACAUGGAAAGAUCCAUGACCUUUAGGAAUAUUUUGGGGGAAAUAAAAUGUUCAAUGAUACCUGAAAUCAUAUCUAGAUUGAACUCAUAUUUAGAAUGCCUGAUCCCAUGUAAUGGUCAAAGCUUCCAACUUCAUACAAAGUUAUAGCUGGUUUCUCUCUCCCCAGCCAGUGCCUGCAACAGGGCAGGGGUUGAAUGGUCAGCUUGUAUCGGCAGAGGUCCCAUUGUUCCUGCAUGCGGCCCAGUGGGCAGGGCCUAACUUUGUACCAUCCCAGCUCUCUUGCUUGCAAAGCCCAUAUGAAAACCCUAGGAAACACUUAGGCAUCUUUGCCUGAGCAGAUACUGGGAGAGCAACUCACCCAUGUGCCACCUCCUCUGCUUUCCUCCCUUCUGUCACCCAGAUUUUACAGGUGAAGGUCACAUGUCAGGCACUCAUUCUCCCACACUACAGGGGACAUACACUCUGCUGUCUGAGUGGUCCCAUUGAAGACCCCCUAGCAGACUGGAGAUAAGGUACAGUUACACCUGCCUCUCCCCUUAGGGAGGUGGAACUCACAGCUCACCUGUCUCUAAAGAAGCCCUCUUCACAAAUACCUUCCUGUCAACCUCCCACACACUUAUUUUUUUAAUACCCUUGACAAGAGUGAGGGUUUUGAGCUGUGAAACCAGUUUCUGGAUAUUUCCUUUGAAAUUUCCAUCCCAGUCUGGCUCCUUGCUGGAGCAGCCAAUAUUCUGCCAUUUCAGGUGCUGAGCCCUGGCCUGGGAGGUGCCAGCAGGGAGAGGCCAAUUCCAGCAGAGGAGAGUCCAGGCAUGUGGGGAUAUGGUGGUGUUCUCCAUGGAGGGAGAAACAGGGCAUUAAUAAAACAGUGCCAGGAAUAACCCUGUGAUUGAUGGGUAAAGGUCAUGGACUCUGGGAUACUGGCAGGCACUGAUGGGAACCUGUUAGGGCUGGACCGGGACCAUCUCUGGCUUCCUGCUUCCCUCAGGUACCAGGAUGCUCUGCUAUGGUCUCUGGCAAAACUGAGCACUGGGGCUGGGCACAUAAUUUUGCCUGGGACAACUGCUGUAGGGGCUUCAGAAUGCCUGGUUUUCUAAAUUUUAUUGGUGUCAGGAGAGAGCUUUGAUAAGCUUUAAUGUGCUAUUAAUUAUUUGGGCUGUUAAAAAAGGGAGUGCAUGAGAGGCUUGGAGUUGAAUGAUCUCAUUUCUGAGGUUCUGAGGAGGUACACACAUACACCCCAGUGGAAGCCAACUCAGGAUCCAGCUGCUCACGGAGUUCCUCCCUCUGCUCAGACACCAAGAGUGCUGCUGCCUGAGACUGAGCAGAGUAGGGAACUGGGGAGGAUCUCCACUGCUUUAAACUUAAAUGUAACUUGGGCAAUUUGGACUUUCUUUGGGCUUUAAUUCGCAAGGGCUAAAUACUUUGAUUUUGGACUUUAAUCUCUUUGGGAUUUUAAUCUCUAAAUUUUUCCCUAGGAAUUUGAUAAUGGGAAGGGUUUAUAUCCAAAUUUGGGACAUCUUAUUUUCCCAUUUAUUAUUGAAGAAAUCUUUAUGCAUUUUUUAUUAGCUCUUUAUGCAUUUUAUUAUUGAAGUAUCUUCACUCUGCUAUUAAACCUCAUUACAGAACCUCUGAUGAGGUUAGUGGUCCAUGUGGCUGGACAUCAAUUUGGAUUGGAAAUAGAACAGGCUCUGAACUUGCAGUCUUAGACACAACAUAGCCUUGGACUGGAUUUUAUUAACACACUGUUCUGGCUCAUCUCAGAGGCUUAUGGAAGUGAAAUCAACAGUGUCUUAGGAUGGUCCCAGGAAGGCACAGGAAGGAACAGAAGUUGAUGCUGGGGGAGCGACCUCCUGCUCAGAUAGUUAGCUCAUCCCCUCCUGGAGCCAGAUGACCACAUACCUGGUUGUCCAGGGGUUAAACAUUAAGCCCAGCUGGUUAAGAUAACAAAAAUCUGGGGAAUUUUUAUCCCCUUCCUUCUCUAGUUUUCAUAUAGAGGGACUUCCCUGACCCCACACACUUGGCCCCUCUCUACUCCCUUUUUGACCCAGCUAGGAGUGAUUUGUCACUUGAGUUUAUGUAUGACUCACUCUCUUCCCCUCCCUCUCCCUCUCUUUUGGUAUAUGCCUGCCCUGGGAGAACACACAAGCUCUGCUGUCAGCCAUGUGGAAUGAAGCAUGCCGGGCCUCAUCUCGGACCUGCACACUGCCCCUCAUUAUGUUCAUGAUCGGCAGGAAAUGGAUAAAGAGUGGCCAGAAGGUGAAAAAGAAGAGAUGGCCCCCUGAAAGGGACAUCCACAUUUAUUUGAGCACCUACCAGCAAAGUGCUGGGCACACAGAAGGACAACGUGAUGAAGCGCCAUCACAUGGCUGGUAGCCUGUGGUGAGUCACCGGACUUCUCGACUCCCACCUCACUAGGGUGGAAGGAACAGUAACCACAACGCUCUGCAACUCGGGCUGCGCCCGCAUGAUUGGAAACAAUCUGUGAAAUGCCUUCAGCUCUCCAAAACAACAGAAAUGAUCAAAGAUGGAGGCAAGAAGACCAGAGAACCCUAAAUGUUUACUGUCUCCAGUGUGUUUGGAAACAGCUUGGACCAGUGUAGAGUGCUGGAACAGAGAGUCAAGAGCAUCAGGCGCGCCACCCAGAUAGCAUCUGAAAGAUUGUAAACAGGAUGAUUCACAAACUGGUGGCAGCAGCUAAAAGCAGUGCAGUUCGCGACCCUCAGCACACGCCAAGAUUCUAAAUGGGAUGUUGCGACAACAAAGCAGCCUGAAGAUUCUAAAACAUAAUGGUGUCACCAGGACAUUCACAGGGUGCUGUAACCUGUAACUGACAAGCAUACUCAUCAUCAUUUCUCCUUGGGCAUGCUGCAUCCUUGCGCUCCACUGGGCCUCCUGUUGCAUUGCUAUUUAUUUGCAUCUACAAGCAGGGGAGCAAGUAUGCUGCGGAAAUAGCCCCAGAGAGGUGUCUGAUUCCCAUAGGCCCUUGCAGCCAGCUACAACUGAAUGAUUUCCGAUAUCAGUUACUGAAAAUUCUGACCAUGAUAUGCAGACCAUGGCAGAUCUUAAUGACAAUAACAUCAUCUCACAUUUUGAUGGCGUUUAACAGUUUACAAAGUGCUUUCACAUACAUUAUCACAUUUAAUCCCAGUGAGGUCGAUAGUCUUCUUCUCCAUUUUAUUGGCAGCUUGGUGUAGUGGAAAGAGCUGUGGAAUCAGACAGACUUAAGUUCAGAUUCUGCCUCUGACUACCAAACCAUGGACAAUUUGCUUCAUUUCUCUCCCUUUUCUUACCUAUAGGAUGAGGAAUCAUUUCUAUUUCCGAGGUUUGUGGUGAAAAUUAAAUAACAUAUGUAAAGACAUACAAUAUAGGGCCCGAUGCAUAGAAGUACUCGAUAACCAUUAGUUUCUGUCCACUUACAGAGGAAGAAAAUGAAGCUUAAGAGGUUAAGGGAGUUGCUCAAAGUAAUAGCUAGUAAAUGGCAGAACUGAGACUUCAUUUAUUUUACAAAUAUUAUUGAACACCUACUAUAUGCUGGUGCCUUGGGCAUAGGAAAGUGGAUGAGUCAUAAUUCUAGUUUUUGAGAUGUUCACAGUAGAGCGGUGGAAUCUGAAAUGCAAAUAAUCAAUUAUAAUCGAGCGUAAUCUGAGAGGCAAAAAGUACUUAGGGAAUAUCCUAAAGCCAUGGGUGCACCCUAGAGUAUCUACACAAGAGAUAAGUCUGAGGAAGAGGAACCUUCCAGGAGGCAGCAGUAGAGUUACACCUGAAAUAAAAUGUUGGCAGGUGGAUGAGGGUGAGCAAGGAGAGGAGCAUUCAGGCGAAGACAACAGUGUGUGCAUUCAUCAGGAGGGUCAAAGGAGCCUGGCAUGUCCACUGCAGCACAGAAGAGAACCUGAGCAGACAGGAGAGAGAAGGGAGAGGAGGAGGCAAGGAAGCAGGAGUGAGAAGAAUGAAGGGGCUUGCAGGUAAUGCUGAGAAGCGUGCAUCUUUGUCAGUCCACACUGGCACAAACUCUGUGAUGAUUUACAGAGAGAGCCAACCUGGUCAGAUUUGCAUUUUUGAAAUUGUGGCAGCAAUGUGAAAGAUUGACUAGAGGAGGGGAUAAUGGAGGCAGUAGUUCAAUGAGAGAUAAUUAGGCUAUGAACUAAGAAAGUGGCAGAGCAGACAAUUUCAAGCGGUAUAGCAGAGGCAGAAUUGACAGGAUGUGGCCAUUAACUGGAUGUCAAGACAGGAGAGACAGAGAGAACUCUAGGAGGACUCCCAGGCUAUGAGCUUUGGUGGCUGGGCGAACGAAGAUGUCCCCCACUGACGUAGAAGGAGAGGACAUUUGAAGAGAUGAUAAUAAAUUCAUGUGGACAUGUUGACUCUGAGAGACUCAUGGAUAUCAAGAAGGAGGUGUUCAGUAGACAGCUAAAAAUAUGAGUCUGGAGUUUGGGAGAGGACUCACAAUUAGAUGCAUUGAUCUAGGGAUCAAUGGUUUUUAGACAAUGGUUGAAGCUGUUUUUUUAUGCCAAGAGGAUAGAGCAAGAAGAAAAGUGGGUCCUGGAGAACUCUAGGGAAUAUCAAUGUUUAGGUGCUAGAAUGAGGAUUGUUGGAGAGAUGGAACUACCAGGAGAAAGGGAGAGCUCAGAGGCCAGGGAAGGCAAGCAUUUUUUGAUGAUGAAAGUAGAGGAAAGUAUCAAAUUCCACCAAAGGAUCAAAGAAGAUGAGAACUGAGAUAUGCCUGGCAUUUGGGCAAUGAUAAGAUCACUUUGGCAACUUCAGUUUUAGACAAAGUGGUUAAAAAAGAGGCUUUUUUUUUUCUAUGACCCAAUAUAAGAAAAAUAUUUUAGGCCAGACAUGAUGGCUCACACCUGUAAUCCCAACACUUUGGGAGGCCUAGGCAGGUGGAUCACCUGAGGUCAGGAGUUUGAUACCAGCCUGGCCAAUGUGGUGAAACCCCGUUUCUACUAAUAAUACAAAAUUUAGCCAGGCAUGGUGGCAUGUGCCUGUAGUCCCAGCUACCCAGGAGCCUGAGGGAGGAGAAUCGCUUGAACCUGGGAGGCAGAGGCUGCAGUGAACUGAGAUUGCACCACUGCACUCCAGCCUAGGCAAUAGAGUGAGACUCCAUGAAAGAAAGAAAGAGAGAGAGAGAGAGAAAAGAAAAGAAAGGAAAGAAAAGAAAGGAGGGAGGGAAGGAGGGAGGGGAAAGAAGGAAGGAAGGAAGGAAGGAAGGAAGGAAGGAAGGAAGGAAGGAAGGAAGGAAGGAAAGAAAGAAAAAUAUAUUUUACAUUGUGACCUGAGAAAAACUUUCAAGAAACAAUACUUACACUCUGACAUGUCAUGACGUGUCACACGCCACCUGUUCUGUUCUAUUCUAUUCUAUUCUAUUCUAUUCUAUUCUAUUCUAUUCUAUUCUAUUCUAUUGCAUUCUAUUGCAUUCUGUUCCAUUCCAUCCCAUUCUAUUCAAAUGCUGCUUGGCCCUCACUAAAUUGAUUUUAUGACCAACUAGUGAGUUUCAACCUGCAGUUUGAAAAAACAGUAGUUUAGACAAAUACAGUUUUCUCACACAAAAAUUAUAUGGAGCAAAGUGUGGGAUAGAAGAAAGAACAUUGGAUUUUGAGUGAAGACACCUGAUUUUCAGCAUGACUCAUUUACUUACUGACUGUGUGACCUUAGAUGUGCCCAUUAACCUUUGUGUGUCUCUUCUAUUACCUGUAAAAUUCAGAUAAUAGAUCAGCUGCAAAGGGAUCUUCUGGGGAUCAAAUGAGAUAAAAUGCAUGAAUGCAAAAAGCAUAAGCCUAAAAUAGUCCUGGUCAAAGUAAAAUUACCAUAAUCAAAGAAAGAGCAGAAUGGUGCAUGGUGUAUCCCAGUUGGCUCUGGGUCUGUCAUCUGAAUCCUAGAGCCACAUCUCUCCAGAACAUACUGAGAACCAGAAAUGGGAUCAAAAUAAUUUAACCAAUCAAAACAGGUGUUGCUGCUAUAUUUAUAAAAUUCACAAAAUUUACUGACACAGAAGCCCGUGUGAAAUCCCAUCAGAAUCAUUGUAGUCUUGUUCUAAUACUAUUGUAGCCAUGUUGAUUUUCUGAUCUAUAUCUAUGGACCUGUAUCAGAAGGACAUUCAAUAAAAUCCUAUUGGAAGAGGAGCUGAUAGAGGCAAGUAUUUUCGCUACAGUGUGACAUGACAGCAAACAGACUGCAGGGAAACAGCAAGAUGAAAUCAUUUAAUAUAGGCAAUAUGUAAACUUCAGCAGACCCUGGUGAUAUCACUGUAUUAAGGUAUAAUACAAUAACUGAUUUUUAUGGUUCAUUCAACAAACUACUGUGUUUGAGUACUCAAUAUAUGUACUAAUCUAGGUGCAAGGAAGACACAGAUAAACUGGGGAUGUUUCCUAACCCUAAAAAGUGAGCACACAGAUGAGUGAGACAGACACAUACACAGAUAAUUUCCACUAACAUGGUACAGUGAAGAAAAAUAUGCAUCUGAGCAUGAUAUGAUAUUAAUAUGUCAUGAGAGAAAAGAAGAAGAGCAGCUAGCCCAAAGUGGAAGUGGAAUUCAGGUAAUGCUUCUUGAAGGUCAUUUGCCCAAGAUGAGUCUUGAUGAAGAUAAAGAAAGAUGGGGAAACAAUUCAGAAUGAUGGAAUAGCCUGAGAAAGGCAUGAAAGUAUGAAACCUUGCAUAGUGUAGAUAAUAUUUCUAGAUCAUAAAAAAGACAAGUACAGGCUAUACUUAAGAGGUAGGUAUGGUCCUCAAUACUGAGAGUCUUCUAUACCAGGUUAAGAUGUGUAGAGGACAUCACAUUGACCAGAGGAAGCCACUAAUAGGGAUUGAUUACUCUGGAAGCCUUAUGGAGGAGGAAUUUAAAAAUGGAUUAGGCACGUAAGUUAGGGAACAAUUGCAGUGGUUCAGGAGAGACAUAUUGAGGGUAUGAAGGAGAGAAGCAGUAAUAUGGAUGAAGAAGAGGGGUUAUAUUUGAAAAAUAUUUUUGAUACUAUAUUUAGAUGUGAAGGCUGAGGCCAGGUAAUAAAUGCUCCACUUCAGGGACAAAAACAUGACCUAGACUCCCCAAUAGUAUUCACUUUCUUGAGUUCAUGAUUGAGUCUAGAGAAAUUAAUACAUCUCUACAAGGCAUUAUAGUAUGAGGUAGAAGAUGCUAAGUGUUGAAAGAAAGGCACAGACAUAUGGUUAUGGGAGUUAGAGGAAAGAGGCAUAAAUUCCAACUGAGAGUUUUAGGGAAGUCUUCCUGGAAGAAGAGGCAUGCAAGGCAGAUCUUGAAAGAUGGUUAAGAUUUUGCCAUGAGUUGAUGAGAAGAAAGUGCAUUUCUGAUAAAGGAAUAAUCUGAGAAGACAUAGGAUGAAAGAUGGUGUCAUUUUGAGCUAAAAACACAGGCUCUGGAGUCACACAAAGUUGGGACCAAACUUUGGCUCUGUCACAUUCUAAUCACAAAAUUGGGGAUAAUUUAAUUGACACUUCAGAGCCUCGGCUCCUCAUUUGUACGACAGUUAUGACUAUCAUUUAUCUUAUGGGAUUAUUGUGAGGAUUUUUUCCUAUUAAACUUGAUUUAUUGAUUACAAUGAAAUUGACUUACCUCCGAGUUUUAUACUUUCAUGUGUUUUUGUAUCACUAAUUUUUUAUUCAGCUUGGAGCAUUCUCUUUAGCAUUUCUUGUAAGACAGGUCUAAUGGUGAUGAACUCCCACAGCUUUUGUUUGUCUGAAAAAGUCCUUAUCUCUCCUUCAUUUCUGAAUGACUACCUUGCCAGAUAUAGUAUUCUUUGUUGGCUGUUGUUGUUGUUGUUUACCUUUAGUACUUUUUUUUCCUUCUCCUCUUUUAGGGAAUUUAUUUUAAACCUAUUAUACUACACAAUAUGUUUUAAACACUGACAUAUAACUUCCUAAUAAGAUAGAGCUAAGAUAGAGCAAAGACAAAAAAAGUUUAUCUUAUUGGAAACAAGAUACAGCAUCAUUUAUAGUCAUUGUCAAACAUUACUGCACUUUAACUUUCAUAAUUUGACAAAGCAUUCAUGAAACAAUCUGC